GAUGAACGCUGGCGGCGUGCCUAAUACAUGCAAGUCGAGCGAACAGACGAGGAGCUUGCUCCUCUGACGUUAGCGGCGGACGGGUGAGUAACACGUGGAUAACCUACCUAUAAGACUGGGAUAACUUCGGGAAACCGGAGCUAAUACCGGAUAAUAUAUUGAACCGCAUGGUUCAAUAGUGAAAGACGGUUUUGCUGUCACUUAUAGAUGGAUCCGCGCCGCAUUAGCUAGUUGGUAAGGUAACGGCUUACCAAGGCAACGAUGCGUAGCCGACCUGAGAGGGUGAUCGGCCACACUGGAACUGAGACACGGUCCAGACUCCUACGGGAGGCAGCAGUAGGGAAUCUUCCGCAAUGGGCGAAAGCCUGACGGAGCAACGCCGCGUGAGUGAUGAAGGUCUUCGGAUCGUAAAACUCUGUUAUUAGGGAAGAACAAAUGUGUAAGUAACUAUGCACGUCUUGACGGUACCUAAUCAAAAAGCCACGGCUAACUACGU
This 496-nucleotide ribosomal RNA is filed under the name uncultured bacterium. RNAcentral describes it as "partial 16S ribosomal RNA". It matches the Rfam family "Bacterial small subunit ribosomal RNA", at positions 28 to 506 of the family's 1533-position model. The record is from RNAcentral.